Molecule: ribosomal RNA, 443 nt
Filed under: uncultured bacterium
Lineage: Bacteria
Description: partial 16S ribosomal RNA
Rfam family: Bacterial small subunit ribosomal RNA
Source: RNAcentral
CCUACGGGUGGCAGCAGUGGGGAAUAUUGGGCAAUGGGCGCAAGCCUGACCCAGCAACGCCGCGUGAAGGCAGAAGGCUUUCGGGUUGUAAACUUCUUUUUUCAGGGACGUAGCAAGUGACGGUACCUGACGAAUAAGCCACGGCUAACUACGUGCCAGCCGCCGCGGUAAUACGUAGGUUGCAAUCGUUAUCCGGAUUUACUGGGUGUAAAGGGCGUGUCGGCGGGACUGCAAGUCAGAUGUGAAAACCACGGGCUCAACCUGUGGACUGCAUUGGAAACUGGAGUUCUUGAGUACUGGGGAGGCAGACGGAAUUCCUAGUGUAGCGGUGAAAUGCGUAGAUAUCAGGAGGAACACCAGUGGCGAAGGCGGUCUGCUGGACAGCAACUGACGCUGAGGCGCGAAAGCGUGGGGAGCAAACAGGAUUAGAUACCCGAGUAGUC